RNAcentral lists this ribosomal RNA (460 nucleotides) under Enterococcus faecalis. RNAcentral describes it as "bacterial SSU rRNA". It matches the Rfam family "Bacterial small subunit ribosomal RNA", at positions 28 to 465 of the family's 1533-position model. The record is from RNAcentral. Lineage: Bacteria; Bacillati; Bacillota; Bacilli; Lactobacillales; Enterococcaceae.
GACGAACGCUGGCGGCGUGCCUAAUACAUGCAAGUCGAACGCUUCUUUCCUCCCGAGUGCUUGCACUCAAUUGGAAAGAGGAGUGGCGGACGGGUGAGUAACACGUGGGUAACCUACCCAUCAGAGGGGGAUAACACUUGGAAACAGGUGCUAAUACCGCAUAACAGUUUAUGCCGCAUGGCAUAAGAGUGAAAGGCGCUUUCGGGUGUCGCUGAUGGAUGGACCCGCGGUGCAUUAGCUAGUUGGUGAGGUAACGGCUCACCAAGGCCACGAUGCAUAGCCGACCUGAGAGGAUGAUCGGCCACACUGGGACUGAGACACGGCCCAGACUCCUACGGGAGGCAGCAGUAGGGAAUCUUCGGCAAUGGACGAAAGUCUGACCGAGCAACGCCGCGUGAGUGAAGAAGGUUUUCGGAUCGUAAAACUCUGUUGUUAGAGAAGAACAAGGACGUUAGUAACU